CCGCCGCCGGGUGUAGUAACUGGGAAUCCUAGCUGAGGUUCCCACCUGAUCACAGGACUCCCGGUGCUGGGGCUUUCAGGGCAGCAGCUCUGCACUGCCAGACUCCUGCUACAAUCACAAGGACAAGCAAGUCUUCCUGGAUCAGGUGAAGAGCAGUAAAAGAUGUUUGCAGCUUCUUCUCUGCCCAGGGCCCCAGAACUGGGCAGUGCAGCCUAGCCGGCACUUCCAACUCAGCUGCACCAAGGGAGGCACCCAGGACUCUUGGGGACAGGACCCUCAACCAAAAGAAAAGUAAGAGUAUUAGAGAUGACCAGAUGUUAUAAUGACACGCAGAGCAGGUCAGGUGAGCACCUGGAAUACCAGACAGCAAAGGAGCAGGAUGGGAAGUGGGAGAAGAAAUUGUUUGCCAAUUUCCUUGAACAUGACCAGAGGAAUAGCAAUCAGGACCAGGCACUGUUAGAGCAGCUGAUCAUCCUGAUAGCCACCAGGCUGCACCCCCCUGUACCAGCUCCAGCACCAAUGCCCGUGCACUCUCCUCCAUGCUAUCACAUCAUGCAGUCACUGGAAAAUUCUGCGCUUGG
Mauremys reevesii (Reeves's turtle) is the source of this 581-nucleotide long non-coding RNA. RefSeq lists it as uncharacterized. The record is from RefSeq and is a predicted model, not a curated record. Lineage: Eukaryota; Metazoa; Chordata; Testudines; Geoemydidae. The transcript has 3 exons.